RNAcentral lists this ribosomal RNA (301 nucleotides) under uncultured bacterium. Its description in RNAcentral is "partial 16S ribosomal RNA". It matches the Rfam family "Bacterial small subunit ribosomal RNA", at positions 509 to 807 of the family's 1533-position model. The record is from RNAcentral.
CAGUAGCCGCGGUAAUACAGAGGGUGCGAGCGUUAAUCGGAUUUACUGGGCGUAAAGGGCUCGUAGGCGGUUUGUUGCGUCGGGAGUGAAAUCCUACAGCUUAACUGUGGGCUUGCUUUCGAUACGGGCAGACUUGAGGCAUUCAGGGGAGAACGGAAUUCCUGGUGUAGCGGUGAAAUGCGCAGAUAUCAGGAGGAACACCGGUGGCGAAGGCGGUUCUCUGGGAAUGUUCUGACGCUGAGGAGCGAAAGUGUGGGGAGCGAACAGGAUUAGAUACCCGUGUAGUCCCUGUCUCUUAUAC